GAUUUUCGAAAUAGUCAUUUCGAAUUCCCUUGUACGAUUUUCUUCUCAACCGUCCUUUCUCUUUCGACGGCCAUGAUCUCCACAUUCCUUUUGUCUUAUCUGCAGUAUUAAUUAGGUCAUAUUAAUUACUGCCGUCUCUUCAUUAUUACAACCAGCCUCGAAAAUUGAUUCGGCAGCCUUUUCUCUUCCUUUUUCUCCAAGCUUCUUCUUCUUCGCUUUUUUGUUCCUUUUCUUU
RNAcentral lists this long non-coding RNA (235 nucleotides) under Ananas comosus (pineapple). Its description in RNAcentral is "long non-coding RNA (ACOM_LNC000651)". Lineage: Eukaryota; Viridiplantae; Streptophyta; Magnoliopsida; Poales; Bromeliaceae. The record is from RNAcentral.